UUAUAUUCUGUAGCAAGGUUAACCGUAUAGGGGAGCCGGAGGGAAACCGAGUCUUAACCGGGCGUUAAGUUGCAGGGUAUAGACCCGAAACCCGGUGAUCUAGCCAUGGGCAGGUUGAAGGUUGGGUAACACUAACUGGAGGACCGAACCGACUAAUGUUGAAAAAUUAGCGGAUGACCUGUGGCUGGGGGUGAAAGGCCAAUCAAACCGGGAGAUAGCUGGUUCUCCCCGAAAGCUAUUUAGGUAGCGCCUCGUGAAUUCAUCUCCGGGGGUAGAGCACUGUUUCGGCUAGGGGGCCAUCCCGGCUUACCAACCCGAUGCAAACUGCGAAUACCGGAGAAUGUUAUCACGGGAGACACACGGCGGGUGCUAACGUCCGUCGUGAAGAGGGAAACAACCCAGACCGCCAGCUAAGGUCCCAAAGUCAUGGUUAAGUGGGAAACGAUGUGGGAAGGCCCAGACAGCCAGGAUGUUGGCUUAGAAGCAGCCAUCAUUUAAAGAAAGCGUAAUAGCUCACUGGUCGAGUCGGCCUGCGCGGAAGAUGUAACGGGGCUAAACCAUGCACCGAAGCUGCGGCAGCGAACGUAUCACCCAAGACAACUUUACGGAGUUGACGAUUGACGGAGCGAAGCGACGUCAAAGCGUUCAUUAAAGUCGAGUUGGCUUAGGGAUACGUUCGUUGGGUAGGGGAGCGUUCUGUAAGCCUGUGAAGGUGUGUCGUGAGGCA
This 727-nucleotide ribosomal RNA is filed under the name Salmonella enterica. RNAcentral's name for it is "partial 23S ribosomal RNA". It matches the Rfam family "Bacterial large subunit ribosomal RNA", at positions 628 to 1270 of the family's 2925-position model. The record is from RNAcentral. Lineage: Bacteria; Pseudomonadati; Pseudomonadota; Gammaproteobacteria; Enterobacterales; Enterobacteriaceae.